CGGUCUGGUAAAUUUCUUGUGAAAUUAUCCAGCUUAACUGGAUAGCGUGCAAGAACGACUGCCAGGCUUGGGACCGGGAGGAGCAUGAGGUAUUCCUUGGGGAGCGGUAAAAUGUUAUAAUCCUUGGAAGACCACCUGUGGCGAAGGCGUCAUGCUAGAACGGAUCCGACGGUGAGGGACGAAAGCUAAGGUAGCAAUCCGGAUUAGAUACCCGAGUAGUCUUAGCCGUAAACGCUGCGAGCUAGGUGUUGCAUAUUCUUCGUGAAUAUGCAGUAUCGAAGCGAAGGUGAUAAGCUCGCCGCCUGGGGA
Molecule: ribosomal RNA, 309 nt
Filed under: uncultured archaeon
Lineage: Archaea
Description: bacterial SSU rRNA
Rfam family: Archaeal small subunit ribosomal RNA
Source: RNAcentral